Molecule: long non-coding RNA, 1338 nt
Organism: Rosa rugosa (rugosa rose)
Lineage: Eukaryota; Viridiplantae; Streptophyta; Magnoliopsida; Rosales; Rosaceae
Exons: 2
Source: RefSeq, a predicted model, not a curated record
CAAGAAAAAUAGUCUAUGACAACAUCAUAUUUACAACAUGCUGUAAAUGCUCGUUGUCAUCUCUAAUAUUCUACAACAUGCGCAGAAAGAGUGUUGUAUUAAAUUAUUUACCACUACAUGCAUCAUUUGCAUGUUGUUAAUUUCGUUAUCGAUAACUCAGUUUGCACGUUGUUGUCUACUUGUUGUCAAUUAAUGUAUCAACAAGUAGGAGUGCAUGUUGUUAAAUAUUUUCAAAACAACAACGUGCAGCUAACGCGGUCGAAACUUUGAGAUAAAAGAUUAAAAAAAAAAGAAAAAACAAAAGGGCCUGUUGACUAAAGUCAGUAAAAAAAAGAAGCAUCAGCUCUCUAAAUCCAUCAUAGACCCAAAACAUAUAAAAUCCUGGGCUUGAAGAAUUGAGCUCUGAAGCUCUCAAUUCUCAAACCCUAAACCGCCCGAAACGAUCGCUUCCCUCCGUCGCCACUCUCAAUUGGAUCGACGACUUCACUAUGGAGCAAGACUGCUUGUCCGGCGUCGCCGCCGUCGAGCACGUCCUGCUUAGCCGACGGCAGGGUCGAGUUUGCCUUUGGCUGAGCUCCUCCAAUCCCUCCCGUAGUCCCAUACCUCCCAAGCGCCGCCCAGCGUCGGCUACGUCCUUACUAGUUCAUCCUCUGCCUCGGCUCCGUCGACCGCGCCACUGACUCCGCCGACCUCGGUUGUCAAUCUCUAAUGCAUUUCCGGCGUUACGGCUACGAAGUUUGAGGUACAGUUUCUGUCAAGAUGGAGAAACAAUGGCUGCAAUUUGAUAGAGAAAAGGAACAGACAAAGAAGAGGAAAAGAGGUGAUGAAGAACAGAAAAAGAAGGGGAAAAAGAAGAGGAGGAAGUGGACCAAUCAAUGCUCCAAGCAAUGAUCUUGAAAAUAGCAGAUGUGCACUUUUGAAUUGGAACAAUUAUGAAGAAGAUGAAGUGGUAGCUGAAGGAAUGAUCUCUUCAACAAAUCCAAGUACAAAAGUUCAUUGUGUGCCUCUUGGACGAAAUUGUUGGAAGGUUUGGGUUGAUGUGGUGUUUGAUGAGUAUCAGACUAUGGAAGUGUACAGAUUAACCAUGGAUGCCAAACAACUUGGUGAAGCUAUAGGAAGCACUCUUGCAUGGCCCAAAAGCUCCAUUGAAAUGCUUCCUUAGUAGUUGAAGUAGCAGGUACAUUUUGCUUUACUAGAGAAUUUAUGUAGGUCAGGAAGUACCAUGCAUGUUUUGUCAAUGCUGGUGAACAAAGAAUCCAGUACUUUGUCAUGCAUGUUUUGUAAAGAACAUAUGUAUAAGAGAAUGUGGCACUCCUAAUGAAAUGUAUAUUUUUCAUA